CCUACGGGAGGCAGCAGUAGGGAAUCUUCCACAAUGGGCGAAAGCCUGAUGGAGCAACGCCGCGUGGGUGAAGAAGGUCUUCGGAUCGUAAAACCCUGUUGUUAGAGAAGAAAGUGCGUGAGAGUAACUGUUUACGUUUCGACGGUAUCUAACCAGAAAGCCACGGCUAACUACGGGCCAGCAGCCGCGGUAAUGCGUAGGUGGCAAGCGUUAUCCGGAUUUAUUGGGCGUAAAGGGAACGCAGGCGGUCUUUUAAGUCUGAUGUGAAAGCCUUCGGCUUAACCGGAGUAGUGCAUUGGAAACUGGGAGACUUGAGUGCAGAAGAGGAGAGCGGAACUCCAGGUGUAGCGGUGAAAUGCGUAGAUAUAUGGAAGAACACCAGUGGCGAAAGCGGCUCUCUGGUCUGUAACUGACGCUGAGGUUCGAAAGCGUGGGUAGCAAACAGGAUUAGAUACCCGAGUAGUC
Molecule: ribosomal RNA, 465 nt
Filed under: uncultured bacterium
Lineage: Bacteria
Description: partial 16S ribosomal RNA
Rfam family: Bacterial small subunit ribosomal RNA
Source: RNAcentral